Molecule: transfer-messenger RNA, 343 nt
Filed under: Thermodesulfovibrionia bacterium
Lineage: Bacteria; Pseudomonadati; Nitrospirota; Thermodesulfovibrionia
Rfam family: transfer-messenger RNA
About the family: Bacterial tmRNA, also known as 10Sa RNA or SsrA, is named for its dual tRNA and mRNA-like properties. Its role is to liberate the mRNA from a stalled ribosome.
Source: RNAcentral
GGGGGCGACAGGCUUCGACGGGGGUUAUGAAGUCGGGGUUGCAUGCCGUGUGCCAUCACGUUAAAAGGCAAACAAACACAAACGCCAACACUGAAUUGGCUCUUGCCGCUUAAAUAAGCGGUGACGUUUCUCCGGUAAGUGCCUGCGGGCCGGAAGAGACGCCGAUAGCGGGCUGGCCUGAGGUGUUUUUCUCUUGUGCUUUGGGCGAGACAAAAAGAGAUAGGUGACAGAGCAGCCUUCCUGCCGGCGAUUCUGAAACUGAAGAUCCAAAUGGCAGGAUAAGCAUGUAGAUGCUGCGAUGUAGUGCUUUCGGACCCGGGUUCGAUUCCCGGCGCCUCCACCA